CAGUCGCCGCGGUAAUACGGAGGGUGCAAGCGUUAAUCGGAAUUACUGGGCGUAAAGCGCACGCAGGCGGUCUGACAAGUCAGAUGUGAAAUCCCCGGGCUUAACCUGGGAACUGCAUUUGAAACUGUCAGGCUGGAGUCUUGUAGAGGGGGGUAGAAUUCCAGGUGUAGCGGUGAAAUGCGUAGAGAUCUGGAGGAAUACCGAUGGCGAAGGCAGCCAUCUGGCCUAAUACUGACGCUGAGGUACGAAAGCAUGGGGAGCAAACAGGAUUAGAUACCCCGGUAGUCCCUGUCUCUUAUAA
RNAcentral lists this ribosomal RNA (301 nucleotides) under uncultured bacterium. Its description in RNAcentral is "partial 16S ribosomal RNA". It matches the Rfam family "Bacterial small subunit ribosomal RNA", at positions 509 to 809 of the family's 1533-position model. The record is from RNAcentral.